Molecule: unclassified non-coding RNA, 248 nt
Filed under: Hevea brasiliensis (rubber tree)
Lineage: Eukaryota; Viridiplantae; Streptophyta; Magnoliopsida; Malpighiales; Euphorbiaceae
Source: RNAcentral
AGAAGGGAAACAUGGAUGGAGCACGAAUUUACGCUGAGAAUGCAAUCCGGAAGCGUACGGAGCAGAUGAACUACCUCCGGCUCGCUUCGCGGCUCGAUGCCGUUGUGGCUCGUCUCGAUACGCAGGCGAAGAUGUCCACCAUAAACAAGUCUAUGGGCUCGAUCGUCAAAUCCUUGGAAAGUACUUUGGCCACUGGUAAUUUGCAGAAGAUGUCGGAAACCAUGGAUCAAUUUGAGAAGCAAUUUGUG